RNAcentral lists this ribosomal RNA (433 nucleotides) under uncultured bacterium. RNAcentral's name for it is "partial 16S ribosomal RNA". It matches the Rfam family "Bacterial small subunit ribosomal RNA", at positions 29 to 507 of the family's 1533-position model. The record is from RNAcentral.
AACGAACGCUGGCGGCAUGCCUAACACAUGCAAGUCGAACGAGACCUUCGGGUCUAGUGGCGCACGGGUUCGUAACGCGUGGGAACCUUCCCUUAGGUUCGGAAUAACUCCCCGAAAGGGGUGCUAAUACCGGAUCAUGUCUUCUGACCAAAGAUUUAUCGCCUUUGGAUGGGCCCGCGUUGGAUUAGCUAGUUGGUAGGGUAAAAGCCUACCAAGGCGACGAUCCAUAGCUGGUCUGAGAGGAUGAUCAGCCACACUGGGACUGAGACACGGCCCAGACUCCUCCGGGAGGCAGCAGUGGGGAAUAUUGGAAAAUGGGCGAAAGCAUGAUCCAGCAAUGCCGCGUGAGUGAUGAAGGCCUUAGGGUUGUAAAGCUCUUUUAACCGGGAUGAUAAUGACAGUACCGGGAGAAUAAGCCCCGGCUAACUCCGUG